RNAcentral lists this ribosomal RNA (497 nucleotides) under uncultured bacterium. RNAcentral's name for it is "partial 16S ribosomal RNA". It matches the Rfam family "Bacterial small subunit ribosomal RNA", at positions 28 to 507 of the family's 1533-position model. The record is from RNAcentral.
GAUGAACGCUGGCGGCGUGCCUAAUACAUGCAAGUCGAGCGAACAGAUGAGGAGCUUGCUCCUCUGACGUUAGCGGCGGACGGGUGAGUAACACGUGGAUAACCUACCUAUAAGACUGGGAUAACUUCGGGAAACCGGAGCUAAUACCGGAUAAUAUAUUGAACCGCAUGGUUCAAUAGUGAAAGACGGUUUUGCUGUCACUUAUAGAUGGAUCCGCGUCGCAUUAGCUAGUUGGUAAGGUAACGGCUUACCAAGGCAACGAUGCGUAGCCGACCUGAGAGGGUGAUCGGCCACACUGGAACUGAGACACGGUCAAGACUCCUACGGGAGGCAGCAGUAGGGAAUCUUACGCAAUGGGCGAAAGCCUGACGGAGCAACGCCGCGUGAGUGAUGAAGGUCUUCGGAUCGUAAAACUCUGUUAUUAGGGAAGAACAAAUGUGUAAGUAACUAUGCACGUCUUGACGGUACCUAAUCAGAAAGCCACGGCUAACUACGUG